AAGAGGUCGGUAAAUCCUCAAUCAAGGCAAAGCAAAAUAAGGUGACCAUCAUAUCAUGAAUCCAAAGGUCACCGACAUCCGUGGAAAAUAAGGUGACUGCCAUUUCAAGCGAACCUUGAAUCAUCAUCUUAAUUCUUACAUCGUCAAACUCUCUUGGAAGAUUAAUGCGUAUGCUAAAUUAGCUGAACGUAGGACUGGAAAACAUCACAAAGAAGGAUGGGUUAAAAU
RNAcentral lists this long non-coding RNA (228 nucleotides) under Lathyrus oleraceus (garden pea). RNAcentral's name for it is "Pisum sativum (pea) long non-coding RNA (PSAT_LNC003096)". Lineage: Eukaryota; Viridiplantae; Streptophyta; Magnoliopsida; Fabales; Fabaceae. The record is from RNAcentral.